Molecule: non-coding RNA, 20 nt
Filed under: Arabidopsis thaliana (thale cress)
Lineage: Eukaryota; Viridiplantae; Streptophyta; Magnoliopsida; Brassicales; Brassicaceae
Source: RNAcentral
UGGAUGGAGUUCAUGUUUGC